RNAcentral lists this ribosomal RNA (253 nucleotides) under uncultured bacterium. RNAcentral describes it as "partial 16S ribosomal RNA". It matches the Rfam family "Bacterial small subunit ribosomal RNA", at positions 524 to 776 of the family's 1533-position model. The record is from RNAcentral.
UACAGAGGGUGCGAGCGUUAAUCGGAAUUACUGGGCGUAAAGCGUGCGUAGACGGUUAUUUAAGUCGGAUGUGAAAGCCCCGGGCUCAACCUGGGAAUUGCAUUCGAGACUGAAUAGCUAGGGUACGGUAGAGGGAAGUGGAAUUUCCGGUGUAGCGGUGAAAUGCGUAGAUAUCGGAAGGAACAUCAGUGGCGAAAGCGACUUCCUGGACCAGUACCGACGUUCAGGCACGAAAGCGUGGGGAGCAACCAGG